CCCUUAGAUGUCCUGGGCCGCACGCGCGUUACACUGAUGCCUUCAACGAGCUUAUAACCUUGGCCGAGAGGCCUGGGCAAUCUUGUUAACGUGCAUCGUGAUAGGGAUGGAUUAUUGAAAUUAUUAAUCUUGAACGAGGAAUUCCUAGUAAACGCAGAUCAUCAAUCUGCAUUGAUUACGUCCCUGCCCUUUGUACACACCGCCCGUCGCACCUACCGAUUGGAUGGUCCGGUGAAGCCUCGGGAUUGUGGUUCUUGCCGCUUUAUUGUGGCGUGACCGCGAGAACUUGUCUAAACCUUAUCAUCUAGAGGAAGGUGAAGUCGUAACA
This 328-nucleotide ribosomal RNA is filed under the name uncultured eukaryote. RNAcentral's name for it is "partial 18S ribosomal RNA". It matches the Rfam family "Eukaryotic small subunit ribosomal RNA", at positions 1470 to 1796 of the family's 1831-position model. The record is from RNAcentral.